RNAcentral lists this unclassified non-coding RNA (281 nucleotides) under Hevea brasiliensis (rubber tree). The record is from RNAcentral. Lineage: Eukaryota; Viridiplantae; Streptophyta; Magnoliopsida; Malpighiales; Euphorbiaceae.
AUCAUUCUUGGGUCGCGAAACAAUCUCAGGUGCUUUGACACUAUGCUCCAAACAAACUCUUUUAGCAGACAACCUCUUCAAAGGUUUGCCUAAAUACGCAUUAUCUUCUAGAUUCAGAUUUGGCGAACCAGCUAUCAGUUUCUGGACCUUGAGUAGUCGAUGCAACUCAAAUACUUGAAGUGCAAGCGUUCUCUGCUGGUUGGCAAUAGCUCGUCUUGCUUUCCAGAAAUGUUUUUGUCCAAUCAUUCUAACAACAUUAUCAGGAGAUAUGUCCAUUUCAG